GAGAGCUGAAAAGAGGAGGGAAAGGGAGUGGUUCAUAUUCUGUGGCAGCAACUGCUGAUGUUGCUAACGUUGAUGUGAUAGUUUCAACUUUGGCCAAAGUUGGUGUUAUAGAAUUAGUCACUUGGCAUAGUGAUUAUAAUGGUACUAUCAGUAGUUCUAUAAGUAGUUGUACUUUAAUCUGACAUGCUGCUGGUAGGUUAUAUGCGUGAACUAUUCAAUUGAUGCUAGGGACUUUGCCUCAACUUGUGCAACUGCAUGUACUGGUGUAAGUGAGGCAUAGAUGAUAGCUGCAGUUUAUUGCUCAUGUUUCUGCAAAGUUUGCCUCUUGACCUGAGUGCAGUGCAGGUCUGUUGAUGAAAUUAUCAAACGGUUGACAGCAUAUCAAAUUGAUAGCCAUUGUUAUGGGGGUCAACCAGGAGAAUGUGAUAUUUAAACAUGAUGCCAGUACAAAUUUAUUGCUACACUACAUGGAGUUACGGACUAUGGUAUUGUGCCAGUGUUGGGUAUGGGCCAAAUAUCAGACUUCUCUGAUGUAGGACUAGGGAAAUCCUCAUAAAACCUGGAUAAGAAUACCUAGAAAAUAAGUGAUUUUUAAGGAUUCAAGGAUGAUGGAGCUUAAUUGCAAAAGAAGGUUCUUUGCUGCUUAAUGCGAGCACUUGGAAUAACGCUUGGUAGGUUUGAGGUAAAAUCUGUUAAAUUUUAAGUUGUCAGUUGAUCAUCCUACAGAAGUCUGCUAAAGAUGGUAGUGCAGCCUGUGAUUUGAGUAUGUCUAGAAUGAGUAAUAAGAAGCCAACAACGCUCUUAUGCCUUUCAGGCAAGCAAGGAUGAAAUAGAAAACCCACCUUUCAGUGCUUACUUCUUGGAGAUCGCCUCUUGAUCAAUUUGAUGGUAAAUAG
Molecule: unclassified non-coding RNA, 896 nt
Filed under: Hevea brasiliensis (rubber tree)
Lineage: Eukaryota; Viridiplantae; Streptophyta; Magnoliopsida; Malpighiales; Euphorbiaceae
Source: RNAcentral